RNAcentral lists this microRNA (20 nucleotides) under Drosophila ananassae. Its description in RNAcentral is "miR-315-RA". RNAcentral also lists the same sequence under 6 other names. Lineage: Eukaryota; Metazoa; Arthropoda; Insecta; Diptera; Drosophilidae. The record is from RNAcentral.
UUUUGAUUGUUGCUCAGAAA